UUGUGCAGAGCUGCGGACUAAGCACUGAUCCCUGCAGAACCCCACCAGAGACGAACACAACCUACGUCAACUACCCCAGCCUGAGGAAGUGCCUAAUGUUCAAUUACUGCCUGUGAAUCAAUCAGUACAGUGCACUGGCACCAAUUCAACAGGAUUCAUUUUGUACAUGAGCCUCAGAAACUCCAGCACUUGGGUCCAGCCUGUGGUAAACUACAUAUACCUGUCUGGACACGCCCACCCUGCUGACUGCUCCUGUGGCUCCUCCCACAGACCCCUGUAUAAAGGCGAUUGGAGGCACUGCUCCUCCCUCAGUCUCCAGGAUGUUGUCUGAUGGUCUCUUGCUGCUGAUAGUGCUCUCUCUUCCAGCUAAUAAAAGCCUAUCUCUUGCCUCACGUCUCCAAGAGUUAUUGAUGGUGCAUCACAGCCAUUCUUGCCUAGGCCUCUCAUCACAGUACGAUUGAGCCAGACAUAGGCUCAGCACGGUAUCAGAGUCUCUAGUCCACUGCAGUCAGCCUCAGCGAGAGGUUUUCGAGACACAGCCUGGAGAUAUGUGACUAUCAAGUCCCUGUGGGCCAACUUUCGCAAGGGGGCAGCCAGAGUUGCUCAGGUGAGGCUGUCGGUUGCUCUGUGGAGCCAGCACACCACCUGACCCCGGAGAGAUUCAACGGUAACUGGGUUCUUGCCACAGCUUCCUCACUCAAUUCUCAUUGGUGUUCGAACUGGUGCCCUUCAGAGUGCAGAAAGGUAGCCUUCAUUAUGUAAAGGGGGUUUCUUUUUUUUUUCUUUGCUACUGUGUAUGUAAUCAAAAUGGCAGUGUAACCCCCUGGGUCACCUCAGGCUCGCUCAGCUCGUUCCCGUCUAGGGGGAGCAGCCUUUGGCCCCGCCAAACUGGGUCAUCAGCUGUGUGGAUGCUGUGUGAUGUCCCCGCCUCGCCCAAAAACAGACAGUACACCAUAUGCGAUUAAAUGAGUACAAUUUAUAACGGUUACUAUAAGUAAGUGAUUAAUAAUGAUACAGUAUAUAUGAAGAAAAAAAUAAAGAAAAGGUGCCAAACUUAUCAAAGUCCAAACCACUUCGUGCAAAACCGUUGGAGCUCAAUUACUGAAGUCUUCUGGCCACCAUUCGAUCCCCUCCGAACUCCUCGACUCGCAGCUUAGGACCAUCCGAAGUGGUCAACCAAGCACAUCUAGCUUCAUCCCCCCUCCUCGGAGUACCUCCUGGCCUCGGACCCCCGCUUGGGGUCUGUUCCUCGCCCAGUUUACAGCAUUGCGUCCUCUCUCUCUCUCCCCUUCGUGCCGAUCUCCCCAAAAGCCCGUCAACAAUAGCUUACAGACUCAGAAGAAAGAACAACAUUAAUCCCCAUUUGGUUUACAAAGGAAUACAAUUCUCGUUAUCAGUAAAUUUUAACUCAAACAAGCUUCCAGUACUCUCUCGCAACAAAGAAGCAUUCAAUGGUCUACUUCUGCACCUAUUGUCUAUUGUCUAAAACAAAGAAGCCGUUUUGAUUAACAUAUGCAGUAACAAAGAAAAAGAGGAAACCCCCCUCCCUUUACAUUCGUACAGAGAAAGGACAGGAGCCCACGGUCAUGCAUCGCUUGCAGAGGGUUGAAUCACAUAACAGCCAAGAUUUGUUAACCCCUUCCAUUCAUGAACACUACCUAUGAGAUUCUCCAAGGGGAAGAGGAGUCACGAAGCUAGACCUGUGGGAUGUGUACAGUCUGAAGGAGAACAAUGAGUGGAAAACUGCAUUCAUCAUCCUGAAUGGGCGCUAUGAAUACCAGGUCAUGUCCUUCGGCCUCACAGACACUAGCAGCUUCCUAGGCUUUUAUAAGCGAUGUGCUCCACGAAUCUUUUUAUAAAUAUGCCUUCUUCUACUUGGAUAGCAUACUAUUCUUCUCCAAGGCCAUUGAAUAGCAUGUCACACACAUCAGGAACAUUUUAAAGAGGUUUCUAGACCAUGGACUUUAUGACAAGCUGAAGAAAUCUGAAUUUCACAUGACUUCCAUUCCAUUUUUGGGUUUAUCACCUUUAAUAGCAAUCUCAAGAUGGACUCAUCUAAGACCCAGGCAGACAGAGCCCCGCCAGUGCCAUGCAACAUGCAACAAGUCCAAUGAUUGCUGAAAUUUUCCGACUUUUACUGUAAGUGCAAAAGGAAUUUCAGCUCAGGGGUGGCUCCACUGACAGCACUAACUAAGAGAUCCAUGGACACUUCUGUCUGGACUAGUGAAGCAGAGGUGCUUUUGAGAACUCAAUCAGCAGUUCACAACAGCUCCCAUUUUGGUUUCAACUAACCUGGACCUUCCCUUCAUCUUGGAAGUGGGUGCAAUAUUGUUUCAAUGGACACCUUUGGCAGUAAGCUGCACCCAUGUGCAUUCUUCUCCAGGCAGUUAUCCCUGGCUGAGGUAACCUAUGACAUCGCGAAUAAGGAGCUGGUCACAGUUAAGUUGGCUUUGGAAGAAUGGUAUCACUGACGAGGUGGCCCGAGAACCCUUUUAUUGUAUGAACAGACCACCGAAACCUGGCUUAUAUUCAGGAGGCCAAGAGACUGAAUUCCAGGCAGGCCAGGUGGUCUCUUUUCUUUAAAUGCUUUAAUUUUGUCCUAACCCAAAAACAGAAAUCAGUUGCCUUUCCUUUAUUAGAGAGAAGAGAGCCGGUGGUGUGUCGAAUACCCGGUGAAUGAGUAGUUCAAUGACCCCGAAUAAGAGGAGCAGCCUACCACCAUUUUGCACCAAGCCGAAGUGAUAGCGCAAAUUCACUGGGAAGUCAACGCUCCUGUCCACAAGGCCCGAGCGAACGGGACGAUUACUACGAAUUGGUCUUCUAGAUCAGCUGUUCGUUCCAAGUUCCGUCCAGUCUCAGAUACUUCAAUUGGGUUGUGUAUCGAGAAUGGCUGCUCACCUAGGGUUUGCCAGGACCCUUGAGUUCAUCAAGAGAAGGUACUGUCAGCCUGGAAUGGAGAGAGAGGUGCAACAACAUGUGCAGCAUGCGAGGUGUGCGCCCAGAACAAGGAGUCCUUCUGUGACCUGCAAUGUGCCAGCCAGCAACAUUCCCUUUCAGACAUUUCACUGCACCGGAGGACUAACAAGUUCAAGGCAGUCCAAAGAGCAUCCUUCAUAGUGGUAAUGAGAGAGUGCCUGUUGUGGAACAGGCUGUGUACAACCCCUCAGUAAACUGAGAUGUGCCACUUAAUAUCUAGCAGAGUAAUCUCAAAGACAUCUGUUGUGUUUGUGGAAAUUUGGAUUAUUUAAAUUCACUAGCAUGGUUCUAUAAUUAGAUGAACAAUGCAGUUUAAUGUUAUCAGGUCAUAACAUUGGUUAGUGCAAAGUGACUCGAGAACAAUUGACUUUGAUAGAUUGGUAAAUGAGAUAGUUCUUGGCACCGAGCCUCAGCCCUGCACUUGAGAAAAAACAUUUCCCUUUUACUAAGUGGGGCUUGACAAGGAAGGUCAUGUUCCACGUGGUAACAGGGAAUCUGGUGGAGGAACUCAGCGGGUGAAACCACACCUGGGAGAGCGAAGGAACCAUCGACAUAUCAGGUUGAAACCUUGCAUCAGGACAUAUUGAGUCUUCCGCAUUGAGAAGCCCUGGACAAGUCAGAAGGUUCUUAGAGCACUGAGGACUCAUUCUGUGGGAUUUAGGAUUAACAAUCCAGAGACCUAAAGGAAGUCCAAGUGUAAUACCCUGUUAAGACCUUGUGUUAUUUUAUUAAUACAUUUAUGCUGCUGAAUGCAAUAGGUGUUACUUUCAUUACAUUAGACAACUUGAGUAUUUCAUUUUUGCUGUUUAAAAUAAAAAUUCAGCUGAUUAAGUUAGACUUAUUGAACUAGCCAAUAGGAAUUGUCUUGUUAACAAUUUUUUCUCUUUGAGAGUGCGGGAAAAGAACGAGGAUCCAUUUUCUGGAGAGCGUGGGUUCGAACAAGGAGAAUGGAAACUGACAAUUAACAUCGAAGAGGAACAUUGGGAAAUGCCCUCGGAGCCCAUUUAGAAGGACAGAUAUUGUGAUGGAGAAAUUCUCAUUCAGACAAUAGCCUCACGGGGAAAGUGCAGAUAACUUUCAGUUAGGUAGUUAGCACACAACAUUGCAAAAUGUUCAACUCCUUUUUCCUUGGACAUUGUGUGAAUAUUUGUUUCCUGGGGCAGGUCCUUCAUUGCAAAACUGUUUCCGUUCUGCGAGUAGACGAAGUGAAGCAAUCUAGAUGGAGUACGCAACAAUGAGCUCCAAAGCACGAUAUAGACUCAUAUUGUAUAUGAUGGGCCUCUUUCAUUAUUUUGUAUUAUAUAGAAUCAUUGUGUUCGUUAAUAAGAAUUUUUGUCAAUACAAUUUUGAUC
Hypanus sabinus (Atlantic stingray) is the source of this 4328-nucleotide long non-coding RNA. RefSeq lists it as uncharacterized. The transcript is spliced from 3 exons. NCBI's taxonomy places the organism in Eukaryota, Metazoa, Chordata, Chondrichthyes, Myliobatiformes, Dasyatidae. The record is from RefSeq and is a predicted model, not a curated record.